Molecule: non-coding RNA, 1676 nt
Organism: Monodelphis domestica (gray short-tailed opossum)
Lineage: Eukaryota; Metazoa; Chordata; Mammalia; Didelphimorphia; Didelphidae
Source: the annotation of a RefSeq genome assembly
CUGGUACUGAGACUGUAUCAGAAGGAAUGCUGGAGGAUACACACUGAGACCUCACAAUGAUACUUGGAUUCUCAGUGUCACCAAAGCCUUCCCCAGGGCUUUAGAACCAGUUCUGGGAGUUUCAUGCUUCUGUAGCUCAGGGAAGGGAUUCAUCACAGUGGAAGGCAGCUGCUCUUCCUGUCACUAAAUAGAGGAAGACAUGCAAAUGGGGAUCCUCCCUCUGGGCAUGAAUCAGCUCAAAACCUGUGUCUGCUGCUCUGGGAGAGGAGCUUCUCCUUGUGUGGCCUUUCCCAGCUGAGGACUGACACUGUAGAGCCUGAAUCAUGGGAUUUGGACUCAAUGGCAUUUUCAUUCUGAUGAUUGUGCAAGGUGUCCAUUGUGAUAUUCAGCUGGUGGAGUCUGGGGGAGAUGUAAGACAGCCUGGAGGAUCCUUGAAACUCUCCUGCAAAGCUUCUGGAUUCACCUUCAGCAGCUAUGACAUGAAUUGGGUCCGACAAGCUCCAGGAAAGGGGCUGGAGUGGGUCUCAACAAUUGGUACUGGAAGUAGCACAUACUAUGCAGACUCUGUGAAAGGCCGAUUCACCAUCUCCAGGGACAAUGGCAACAGCCUGCUGCACCUGCAGAUGAAUUCCCUGAAAGACGAGGACACAGCCACGUAUUACUGUGCAAGAGACACAGUGAGGGAGAGCAGUGAGAGAGCAGACAAAAACCUCCUCUCCAGAGAGUUCUGGUGGAGAAUGACAGAGAGGGAACUCCAGAACUCUGAGCACAAGGAGCCCAGUUACAACAACAGGUGGGGAGUGAAGCUGACAAGUGUAUUUCCAAGGUCUGCGAUUUUCUCCCAAAUCCCACUAAAUAUCCCUUUCUCUUACUUAAGUCCUUUUUGUCUCUGCUGCUCUUUCCUGAUAAGCAGAGGCUCAGGGAGGAGAUGUAUUCUUUUAAUGCUUUACAUAUUUUGUAUAUCAUGACUCUAAUUUCUCUGAUGUUGUCAGACAUGAAGCAGAGACAAAGUCACAUGACAAAUGAGGAAUCACUGAACAUUCACUACAGGCAUUCUGCAGGGUUUUCAUACACUCUGAGCACCAGGCAACAUACUUGUGUUGAAAAGUUAGCUAGUGGGGCAAUUAGGUGCUUAGUGAAUAGAGAGCCAGGUCCAGAGAUGGGAGGUCGUGGAUUCAAAUCUGGCUUCAGAUACUUCAGCCUUGUAGGGAUAUGAAAAGCUUGUUUGAGGGUGUAGAAAUUUGUUUCUGGAAUGCUGAUAAGCAGAAUUUAUCUCAGCUGAAAUUGGUGAGACUUGUCUUUUAAGAAAAAAGAAGGCUUCUGGGAUCGAAUGGUGACAAAGUACACAAAGGACGGAGAAUGUCCUGGGAUGGUUACAGAGGCAUAUUCUGGUAUCAACUGGGAAUGGACCUUUUCUGACCAACUAGGCUGUUAAUCCUUGAGUGAUACAAUAAUUACAUGAGCCAGUGAUAGCUUUGGCCUGUAUGUGAAGCCCUCACUAUGUGUCCCUUGGGACAUGAGGAAAUAUUUUCCCUGUUGGGCCUGUUCCUUUGUGACAAAUUCCCACAAUCAGCACAUAACGCAAUUUGUAAAAUUAAAGUUUCCAUUUCCUCAAACAACCUAUUAGGUUAAUAAUUGAAAAUUCUUAAAUUGUUAGGGAACAUAUUUUGAAAAGC